GACGAGACGGAAAGCCGCCGUGUCGACC
This 28-nucleotide small RNA is filed under the name Bombyx mori (domestic silkworm). RNAcentral's name for it is "ovarian small RNA-15546". Lineage: Eukaryota; Metazoa; Arthropoda; Insecta; Lepidoptera; Bombycidae. The record is from RNAcentral.